Mus musculus (house mouse) is the source of this 24629-nucleotide long non-coding RNA. RefSeq annotates it as predicted gene, 53491. The transcript is spliced from 2 exons. The record is from RefSeq and is a predicted model, not a curated record. Lineage: Eukaryota; Metazoa; Chordata; Mammalia; Rodentia; Muridae.
AUUUGUAUUCCUUUUGGUUUAUCUAACUAGGUUUGUAAUUUUUAACAUAGAUAACCCCAUAAUUGCAUGCUUUGCUUGACUUACACUGAUGUGGCGGGUUUGAAGUCCCAUGUCCUCAUAUGCUACUAUUGACAUUGGGAAUGUUUGGACAAAAUGACGUUUUACCACGUAAACACUCAGGUGAAAUAUCAGGCCCCUUUUCUAACAACACCCCAAUGGCCUUUGGGAUAUUGUAUCACAGCUUGGCCUUUUUUGUGUCCUGGACCAAGGUUUUUAUUUGAUUAAUAUUUUGAUAGUAUUUGACAAGGCACAUUACUUAUCUUAAAGCUGUCUCUCUUGUUAGGUAUUAGGAGUGACUUUUCUAGCCCUGUGCCACCCAGAAAGUAAGGUGCUGUGAAAUUGGAAAGACAUUUUAUCUGAAUAUAUUGGCAUCAUGAUAUUACCAGAUUUGAGCUGUAUGACAUGUGAGAAAAAAUAAAACUUAAGAACUGCUGCACUUCUCAUUGGGCACUAAAACCUCUUCUUUGGUCUAGAUUACUCCUCUGACUUUCUGUACCUUUAAAGAUGGUUCUAAUGUCAGAUUUCUGUUUUACUUAGUAAUAUUAGUAAUUAGUAAUAUAUAGAAAUAUAUUACUUAGUGUAAUAUAUUUCUUGUCCUCCCAGUGGAAGUGCUACAUAUAUUUAGCUAUGUCACAUGUUGUAUAAAUGAUACCAGCUCUCCAUGUGUUAGAAAUGGUCUCAAUAAACGUUACCUUUAUUUUAUAUAAACUUUGUGUAGAGUCAAGGAUCAAAGCCAAAUCUUCCCUAGUUAAGAACUCUACCACAUAGCUGCAUUGCUAUCUCAGUCGGGAUUAGUCCAGACAAAUGCUGAUCUGCACUGAGAGGAUGCCUGCUGCCUGUAAAAACACAAUGAUGACAAAUGGGAGGUUGUUCUCCCAUUAGCUCAAAUGUAGAUCAAGUAACAACUACACAGUGUGAAGUUGUGGGCAUUAAGCUCCUUCCAUUAUUCUAGACUUGGAGUACAAAUCCAGGACUUAAAAUAUAGGUAUUGGAUAAAUACUUAACUGAUACUCCUGAGGUGAUAUUAGCAUCUAGUAGGUAAAGUCUUUCUGAAGCAAGACUUUUGUUCAAGAAUAUUUCUAUUUAAAAUAAGAGAAACUGUCAUUUAGUUUAGAAGAAUUAGUUCUUCUCAAAGAAAAUAUGACAACUGCACAGAGAAGUUUGUAUUAUAAUGUACAUUUAGACAUUUCUGUUUUAAAAUUUAUAAAGAAAUGGUAAUAAAUUUGCCCACAUUGUGUUAAAUACUUGCAUGUUAACCAGAGUUUUAAUAAACAAUUGGUUAAAAUUAACAUUAUAAAAAUACAGCUUUAGUAUUCAUGUUCAACUGCAAAAAUAAGUACAUUACUGUUAACACAUCCUUUCAUUUUGUAUCCAUCAUGGUAAUAACCAUCCUAUAUAAUUUUCUGUUGAGUACAUCUCUUCCCAUUACUAAAUAUCACAUCUACCAUUUAUUUAAUGUUUUCUGAUUGCUACUGAACAUCAAAUUCAAUAGUACUGUUAUUAUCUGAAUAUAUGUUUAUGUGAACUCAAAAUAUAGCAUUACAGUAAUAAUCUAAAAGGACUUUUAUCAACAAUUAUGAUAUUGUAUAUGCAGCAUUGACUGAAUUUGCUUUUACUACAUGGCAAUUCUGGUAAAUAAUUUGCUGUGAAUAGCAGCUGUAGUAGGAAAUCAUUAUUCCACAAAGGUUAUUACAUCAUCUAUGAACUUACAGAAAGUCAGUCAAUAUUUAAAAAUAGAUUUACUUUUAUGACAGAAGGAUUCUAUUUCUAUGUGUUCCAAUAUAAAUAAUUAUAUAAUAAAGAGAAUAUCUGUCUGUUUAACAUUUUAGCAUGCUUUGGGCUGUUUUUUCUUUAUUUUAUUUUACAGCUAUGGUUGACUUGAUUCUAAUUCAUUUUAUUCUACAUCAUUGAGUCUAAUUUUAGUGUCUGGUUCAAGUAUAAGUUUCUGUCAAAAAUUGCUUGGUUGCUCAUUCUCUUACUCACUUAAACUCUUUUGUAUUGUUUUUGAGGACAAAUGAAGAAUAAUACAUUCUUAUUUUACAGCAUCUAUGUUAGAUGUUCUAUAAUCUAAUCCUGGAAAAUUUUUCUAAAAUUGACAACACCAACUCUCCUCCCUCCAGCUAGCAGCAGUGUAUAUCCCUCUACAUUUUUAUACACUCAUGUUGUUCUCUUCUUAUGUGUGUGUGUGUGUGUACAUGUGUGUGUGUGUAUGGGGGUGUAUCUUGUAUGCACAUGGCUUGUGCAUGUGUGGGGGGCUGUCAGAUUAUAUUCAAUAUCUUUUUUAAGAGCUCUUCACUUUAUUAAGAGCUCAUCUGUAUAUUAAGUAAGGUCUCAUCUGUAUAUUAAGUUAGUGUCAGUAGCCAGCUUGCCCUGGAAGCACUGAUAGUAGGGUGGGCCACAGCACACACUCAUUAUUUACAUGGGUUUUGGAGAUCCGAGCAUAGAUUUUCAUGUUUGUACAGCCAGCACUUUACCCACUGAGCCACCUUCCCAACCUUCUUGUUAUUUGUUAUUAGGCUUAAUAGAACUUAUAUACAUCAUCUUUUACAUUUCUAAAAAGUCCAGAUCUUUUCAAAGUAAUAAUAGAUGCCAUUUUUUGUGUUCUUCUUCCUUGAAGAAUUCUUCUCUAGUGAUGUGUGUGUGUGUUUGUGUGUGUGUGUGUAUGUGUGUGGAUGUAUGUAUGUAUUUCUGAGUGAGUAUACGCACGUGCUUGUGAACUUGUUUGGCAUACAAAGGGGUGUGCAGGGAUCAUGUAAGCUUGUGCUGCUGCAUUUGGCUUUUAUAGUCUGGGUUCCUAGAAUUAGAACUCAGGUUUUUACUCUCACUGUAAAUGACAUUGCCCAUGGCCCAUGGAGCCACCUACAUAGCUCUGGGAUUUUAUGUAAAGCAUUCUACCAUUUUGGUCUGGGUAUAUCUGAAAUUCUACAUUGGGGUUCAUGGGAAAUUUGUUUUAAAUGUCUGCUUUUUGCUGCCUGCUGCUUUGAGUUCUGUGAUAGACAGGAGUAAUGGAAAAUUGAGUUGAAUUGAAGAAAUGAUCAUACUACAUCCAUCAGGGAUUACUUAUUGCAUCCCCAAUAUGUGCCAGGUCCAGGAGACAUACUGGGAAAUCCACAUAAAAUAUUACAUAAAAUUCACUCCAUAAAAUACCUUUUUUUUUCAUUUGUGGUUAUUCUCCUAGCUGUAUUGACAUAUGCUUGAGACAAACUUUACUGUUUGUGGGGGAAGAACCAUGUGGCCUUUGGUUAUCCCAAUCCUUGGGUUCACAUUUAGUUAUCACUUACCAGAUGGCACAUACUCAGCUCUAAAACCAUUAGAAACAGACUUUAGAUAUUUUCUGAAUUUCUUUGGACUUCUUUUCUGUCUUGCCUAUAAAAUUAACAACAUUAAUAGUAAUUGAUGCAUUACUGUAGUAAAGUGAGCUAAUGUCUGUAAGGCAUUACACCAAUGCUUUGGCUCAUAUCAACUGGAGAAGUUCAGCUAUAAUAGUUAUGAGGUUGGCUGACUUGGCACCCUACCCCUGGUACAAAGCAAAUGUUUCCCUAAGUGCUGAGAGGCUAUAAAUGUGACUUUUUUGUUAUGGAAUUAGGAAUAAGAAUCUGAAAGACAAGCCUAUGUUUUAAACUGUAAAGAAAUUAAUUCCUGGACUCCAUGGUAAUGUCCCAACAUGAUCUAAAGCAGGUGAAAAAAUAGAUUAAUGCUCAAUUAGUCACAUACCAUAUGUUCAUACAAACAAGAUCCCUCAGCUGAACACCUGUGAGAGAGUAAGGUAUGCUUGGAUGCUGGGUGUGGGGGGGGGGGCUAGAUGUUAGGGGAUUGGAUGAUGAGGUUGCUCUUGACAACAGGGGUGUUUAUUCAAAGUUCUGUUCUCAUUGCCACAAACUUUGUCUUUGGAGGAGAUAGAUUCAUAAAAGACAGAUCCACUAUUGACUCUCUGUGGUCAUUAGGCCUGUGUGAUUUCAUGUACCAGAACCUCUGAGUUUUGUUGAAGCUUACAAAAAAAUCUAUACAACUCAAACCCCUUUCAGAAUAAAGUAUUUACAUAGGUACAAAUAGUAUAUUAAAAAGGGCUGUGGGUAUAUUCCUAUUCUUCAUGAAGUUUAUAGGUUAAAGAGGAAAUUGAGGCAUUAAGAAAUUACUCACAGAAGUUGAAUGUCCUAGGGUACUAUAUAGAAUGAAGUGUUGUUCUGAAGAACAGCAAUGGCUUCCAAAGAAGUGAUAUGAAAGCGACAUUUAAAAUUGAGUAAGGCAUAUGAAGAAAUGUGACAGGGGACUCAAGAGGAGAAGGAGCAAGUAUUUAUUGCACAACCUUUAUAUAUAGAUACCUUUCUGCUUAGUUGGCCAUUAUAUUUAGAUAUUUAAAUUGUGUGUCAAAUUGGCAUUAGAAUGAUUUUCAAGGUGAGUGCCAUUGUUUAAUGGAUUACCUUAUUAAAAUACACAUUGUCUUGAACUUAAUUCCACUUUAUUUUAUUUUACUUUAUUUUAAAGAAUUAUUUAUUUAUUUUAUGUACUUGAGUACAUUGUAGCUAUCUUCAGACACACCAGAAGAGGGCAUUAGAUCCCAUUACAGAUUGUUGUGAGCCACCAUGUAGUUGCUUGGAAUUGAACUCAGUACCUCUGGAAGAGCUGUCAGCACUCUUAACCGAUGAGCCAUCACUUCAGCCCCUUAAUUCCAUUUUAAAUGGGCACACAUGUUCAUUGUAUACAUUUCAAAGACGUUCAUGUAUGUAUUAAUGUUACACAGAACUAACCCAUCACUUAUUUAUCCUUUCCUCUUCCAUCAUCAUCACCCUUGUUUAGGCCUUGCCCUUUUUAUUGAACUAAUGCAAUACUGUCUUCAUGGAUAUCCUUGCCUCAAGGUGUGUUUUCUUACUCAAAUUUCUUUUAUAUUGUGAUGCAAAAUUGUUUUAUGAGCUAUAACAUCGACUGUCAUUCUUGUGCUUAAAGAUUAUCCUACUGCUCCUAGUUACUAGUAACUACCCAUUCAACCUGUCAGUCAAUGUCUUUUGUCUGGCCUCAUCCUAUAUUCUCCAUUAAUUCUGAGAAUCCAUCACUAUUUUCCUUGGAAGUCCAUGUAGAAUACUGGCUUUUCUGUUUCUUUAUUGUUUCAUUAGCUUCUGUGUAGAAUAUCCUUCAAUUUCAUAUUAGUUUACUUCUCUAGCUAGGAUGUAUUGUCAUAUCUGCUUCCUGGACUUAUUUAAUGCUUUACUCUUUGUGAAUUUGUCCCUUUGCAUCCUGAUCUCAUCAUUGUAUUUUCCUUUUCCCUUAAUUUUGAAGUCCUUUGUAUGUGUGUAUGUAUGUGUGUGUGUGUGUGUGUCUCUGUCUGUCUGUCUGUCUGUCUGUAACUUGGCAAGUUAGGAAGAUUCCUGUCAUUUCUCUUCAAGGAGAAGUUUUCAUAUUUCAUCUAGCCUCUUCUCAAACUGUUUUCAGGCCCCUGGAAAAUUGCCUAGAUAUUAAAAUUUUCAUUACUUAAUUUCCAAAUAAUGUUACUGUGAAAGUCAAAUAGGAUAAUAUAUGGGGAAACACUUGAUAAACAUCAAAGCACUUCAGUAAAGUGAAGUGUUAUUAACAGUAUUAUUGUUAUUAGGAGAGGAAAACAAAGCAAGAUCUUGAAUUCAAUCCUUUCCAAAGACAAAAUUAAAAGUCUAAUCAUUUGCUUAUUACUGUCUUAGAGAAGCAGUCUAUAGAGCCAAGGCAACAGUGCACUUGCUGGGUUAUUUUGAGUAUUUGUAAGUGUUUUAUAAUGCUCAGAUUUAUUAAUUGUAUUUGUAAUUGCACCAUGGGAAAUGAACCUUCAUAAUCCAAGAAGAAAAUAAAAACUUAAAUAGAAAAAUUACAUGGUUUAGCAUCCUCUCUAUAUCAUAGCCAAGGUACUGAUAGAUACCCUUAAGUAUAUCUCUUUCUCUAAAUUAUAGAAAUAUAUAUCUAUAUUCAUAUUUUAUGCAUAGUAUUUUUGAGAGUAGAUUACUUAGCUUAUUGCUUGGCUUCUUAGAGAAAACUAUUUAAUCAAGCAUAUUAAACAGCAACAAAUUUAAGACAAAACUCUAAGCACAACACAGCACAGCACAACACAAUUCCCUCUGUUUUUGAUUGGAGAUACUGAGCUCUUUAUUUGAAGUAUCUAUGUGCUUCCGUCCUUAGUUUCCAAAUCUUAUCAAGACUUCCUGUACCUUCAGAAGGGCUUUGUGCUGUUAUCAUUGGGUUAGGUGAGUGCCAGAACAGUCAGGGCUAUACAGAGAAACCCUGUCUCAGAAAGAAAAAAAAAAAAAAAAAGAACUGAAUGUAGAAAUAAUUGUAAGGCAUGGAAAAAAAUCCUAGGAAGAUAGUUGCAAUAUCUCUAUAUUUCUCACCAGUUCUCCUGUGCAUCCUCAGGAGAAAUCAUCAAACCAAAUCUAAGUAAAAAUGUUCAUGACCUUGUUUAUGAUGAAGAGACUAGUCAACUCUUGAUGAGAAUGAGUUUCUCAACAGUACCGAAGGAUAAGUCAAUUCAUUAUUAAUUUGCUAAGAAGCAAGACCCCAGGAGAUCACUUAUUGAUUCCUCAUCUACUUAAUAAUGUAUCAAUCUGUUUAAAAGCCUCAGAGAGCUAGACAAAUUGUGUCAUGCAUUAAAAAUAUUUAGACACUAUUAGAGUGGAAAUAAAACAUUAAAAUAAAAAUGAUUAGGACUCAUGGAGUAGAUUGGACCAUAGAGUCUAGAUCCAUUAGACUAGAGUUGCGUCUAAUACGAAGAGGUCACACAUGGCUUCUAAGUUUUGCAAUUAAUUCCCUGUUCUCGUCUUAGUUUUCAUAUUAAUUAACUGAGUCUGUGCCAUAUCUGCAGAGUAGAUGUUUGGAGAUAUUUAAUAAACAAAGUACCCCAAACCCUUUUCUAUGAUAGUCUACUAGGAAAAAGAGUCAGCCAACACAUCUAAAAUCAUAUAUUUAAGAGUGAUGGAAAUAAAAUACUAACGAGUCAAGCAGGAUAAUGUCUUCAGCAUAUGAAUUGUAGGAAAGUGUUAGGUGUCAUUAUAGUCAAUGCCCAGAGAAGUGAAAUAACUAGCCAUGGAUUUUGGGCAAAGCCUUCAGCAGAGCACACAUGCAUGCCCAGUAAUUCUGUGGGUAGACUCAGCUUUGCUGAGCUUGAAGCAGUGAUUUUGGUCAGAGAAAGUUCAGACAAACUUGGGAAGACAAUGAAGAAUUUUGGACAGAGCUGCAGUGAUCUUCCUUUCCAUUUUAACAAGGUCAGUUUGACUUCUGUGCUGAAAAUAGGGAGGUAACAGAGAAGAAAGGAGACAAAUUAGACCAUCAACCCAGGCUAAUCCAGGCUGUGCUUGCCCUGGAUAGGAUCAGGCUUGUGCAAGUGUGAGAAGUUGUAGAAUUAUGGAUCUAUUUUUAAGUUGUGUGUGUGUGUGUGUGUGUGUGUGUGUGUGUGUGUGUGUGUGUGUAAAUUGGCAUAUUGCCUUGGAGAGAAUAAGUCUUUCAGAUGGAGCAGCUAGAAGAUUAAAUUUGUCAUUAACUGACAUGGAGGAUGGAGAAGAUUCCCAGAUGCAACAGAACCCCCAAGUGUUUUAUGCUACACCAAAUUUUUGGCUCCUGGUGAGUAGCCAUAUCCAGUGCAAAGGCUAUUUUGGGCAGAAAUAAGAUGGGCUCACCUCUUUCCUUAGUGAGGAGCAGCUUGAAGCCUCUGCCUUCAGGGGCAUGACUGAGGCUUUUCUGACAAUGACAUCUAUGAAGUUUCCCUACUUUCGUGCCCUUCAAAGGACCACUUUUGGAACUCAUGGCAGUAAUGUUUCUGAUUUCACAUUUUAAUCUGUUUCCUAGAAGCCUGGGUUAUGACAACUAAUGUUGGUACCCCAAGUAGAAAUAGCCUUUUUUAUUGGCAUAGAAAAUGUUCUCUGCAUUUCAUGCCACAUCUUUUCUGGAGGACUACAGUGAGUGUGACCCAGACUUGACUAUACUAAGUCCGUGGUAUUACAUGUUUGGUUAAUAUGGUAUGAAUAUUGGCCAUGAAAUUAACACAUAACUGAUUUUCUAAAAAGACACUGAGAAAAUGCAGAUUCAAAGUAUCUCUUUAAACUGAAUUCUGAGGUCUUUUCCCUAGCAACUCACACACAUCAAGCAAAAUUAUAAUACAGUUUAGUUAUUUUUUUUUAAUUUGGGGUGUCACACCAUUCUGCUAGUGUGAUGGAAUAUUUGUAGUUAGUUUUUUCCAUCAGGGCUCCAGUCUAUUAUUGGAUUUGUGCUCUGCAAAAAUUGAAACCAGAAAAAACGCUAAGCAAGUAUCAGCAACUAUUUUGUGCAUAUUGUGGCAGAGAGCCUGGGCUCUGACUGUGUCCUUCCAAGCGGACUGACCUGCGAACUGAUUUAAUCACUGUGUGGAAUGUUUACCCUCUUACUGAGCCUCUGAAGAGAACAGGAAAUGAAGCAUCUGUCCUGAGUGCAGAGUAGAUGGACAAACAUCUCCCUCACGCAUUCUCAGACGGUGCACCAGGGACAUGCCCACAGGACUGCUAAAUGCUGGAAUUAGGGAAAGGGGACUAGGAAUUUACUGUUUAUUAGGAGUUAACAAUUUUGAGACUCUCUCUCUCUCUCUCUCUCUCUCUCUCUCUCUCUCUCUCUCUCUCUCUCUCUCUGUGUGUGUGUGUGUGUGUGUGUGUGUGUGUGUGUGUGUGUGUGUGCGUGCGCGCACUUGCGCAAACGCUGUGGCUUGGAUCCGCGGUAUACAUGCGUGUCUCAUCUCCGCCAUUUUAGGUGCUCCUUGACUGAGCUAGUAAUGGCUGUCAACCUUGGCUGCUUGUGGAAUCUUCUGUGGAGAUUCAGAUACCUAGAUACCUUGUGCCUGGACUCUCAAGCAGAGACUCUGUUCAAUCAGUUUGGGGUAUGCCUUGGGUGCCAGCAUUUGUAAAGUUUCUACAGGUGACUUUGACAUGGAUAUCAGGUUGAGAACCUCUGCUCUUUGGAAUUUUUUUUUUCAUAAAAACAAAUAGAUAACAUUUGACUAGAUAAAAUGAAAAGCAGUGUAAUCAAGUUUCCAGAUAGACUCUGCACCGUCCCCUGAAAUUUCCCAUCUCUAGUCAGCCUUGGUCAUGAUCCUCCAGCUGUGCUGACCUCCACAACAUACAGUACUCUCACAGAUGUCAGAGAUUAUCUGCCUCAGAUUGUUUGGCACAUUGAUGCAGAACCAUCUUUCUAUCAACAGAACUGAACUAUGCCAAAUUAUAUGAAGCCAGAUUCCUGCGUGUGAAGAAGACAUUCUUACUCCAGCAAGUGAAAGUACAAGUCAAGAAACUGACAGAGUAGGCAAGAGGUGGGCAUGCAUCCACACUCACAGCCAGAGCAUCCCUGGAGGAGCUGAAGAGGUCUCUUCUGGAUAGCAGCCUAAAGAAAAAGAACCAUCACCACUGGACACAUGCCCCAAGCUAGAAUCUUUCUUGCUUUCUCUUCUCCAUACAUUUUUGCUUUGUUUCUUACUGGCUGCAUUUUCCAGCUCUUUAAUCUCGUUCAAUGCCUCCCUGCAGUGUUCUCUUCUAGCUCUGCAUAUUCAUUUAACUCAUAGGGCUCCAGAUCAGGCCUUUAAUUACAAAUUUAGAAAUUAUGGUGAGAGUAGAAACAUAAUAACCUCCUAUUGCUUGGUGCUUUACCUGCUCUUAAGGGCACAUCACACUUUUUCUGGGACCUCAGCUUUGUCCCUUUCAGCACUCCAAGCUACAAGCUAUCACAUUACCAUGGAUUUAUCAAAAUUAUUAUUUUUGAUAUUUAUGAUGGCUUCCAUUAACUACUGGGUUACUUGAGGCUAGGUAGCAGUAGAGGAUGUGAAUCAAUUUUCCUAACUAUAGACUAUGUAUGUGAGUGUACGUGUUUGUGUGUUCGCAUGUGAGUGCAUGUAGGUGAGUGUGCUUGUAUGUGUGAAUAUGUGUGGAUGCCAGAGUUGUAUGUCAGGUGUCUUUCUCAAACAUUCUGCACCUUGUUUAUUUAAUGCAGAGUCUAUCAAUGGAUCUUGAUGAUUCUGAUAGACUGGCUGCCUAGUCAGUAACAGAAACCAUCCCAUCUCUACCACUGGAAUUACAGGCAGGCACUUUCAGAUCCAACUCUUCAAUGUUAGGGAUUAAAACCAGGUCCUUACACUUGGCUGUAAGUGUAUUGCCCACAGACAUAUCCCCAGCUCCAGAGACAUAGUCUUUGAUUUUCUUUCACCAUGAUCUCUCUCUAAUUGUGUAAUUCAUGUACAUUUUCAUGUGUUCUAAUCUUAGAAUGUUUUCUGAUGACAUCUUUAUGAACUCUACUUGAGAUGGGAUCUCAUGUUGUAGAUUAUACUGGCCUAGAAUCCACUAUAUAGCUCAAGCUGGCCUUGAAUCCAUGGUGAUCAUUCUGCUUCAGUUUCUGGAGUACUGAGUUAUAGUUACCAACUAGCACAUGUGGAGUCUAAAUAAAGUCUAAAUUGUCAGAAUAUUAGAAAAUAAAAUAAAUGUACAAUCAUCCUUCUUCUUUAGUAGUGGCCUUUGAAGGAUCACUAAUGGUUUACAAAUAUUAAAGCUGUCAUAUGGUCAGUAAUAAUAAUUUGUUGACUUGUAUCCAGAUUUCUUUCUUCCCUUUUUAAUUCCUGGUCUUAGUAUCAGGAGCUCAAUAAAUAUUUUCUGAGGGCAAGGUAUCAAUGAAAGGAUUUCCUUUUUGGUAUUAUGUGAACGUAACUUAGGGGUACAUGAGUUUAGGUUCUGACAUUACUGUGCUUCUUCACAACUGAGGCUGUGGAUUCUUUGUUCUACCUUCUCCCAAUGUCUAGGUGUGACCUUCCUUAGUUCUAAACCAAUGUCUUUGCUGCCUCUAACAAACUGAGCAGGGUAAUCAGAAAUUCUGAAGGGCAAAUUUUCCCAGUACCUGAACUGCAUAAUCUUGCAUAUAAGCAGAACUUUUUAAAGGUAGCACAUAGUGUAGUUUGGCAUUUCACUGUCAAGUUGUCUUUAAGAUUUCCGUUUUUGUUUUCUUCUGCAUGACUACAGACUAUUGAUAGCUAUGCAAGAUGUACUCUCCCUGUUUUGACAGGAGUAAAUGUUCUGAAAGGAAAACAAAGAGAACAAAGUAUAGCUACCCUGAGUAUAUCUUCUUAGCCUUUACCUUUGUAGAUAUUGAAAUAUUAUUGGUGCUGGCCACAAAAAUAAUAUUUCCUUUAAUAAUACGUAGAAGGCACAGGAGACCCAUAUGAUGCUUUUGUCUUGUUCCUGGCAUCUUUAACAGACUUAUGAGUUAAGAUGAUUUUUGAAAAUAGUAUGGCCCAUAGCACUGGAUCUUAUGGUUCUGUCUUAGUAUUGAAAUAGGAAUGACAGUAUAUUUGUCUAUUUUCUCUGAUAGUGUUUUAUGAACCCCAACUUUCCGGCCUUCAUGACUUUUGUGGGCUGUUUUCUUGAGCAUACAAUGGCCUUACCAUACUGCAUAUAGUGGAAAGAAUAUUUGUUUAUUAAAUGACAGACAAUGUCUUCUAUCUUGGGAGCUCUCUCUUAGACUUAGGCAUGGAGUUUUCACUUUCAGAGACCCAUGAGAAUAGCACUAAGUCUGAAUAGGAGAUGUGUUUGAGCAGACAAAAACAGACAUUCCCCUUCCCACCUUUGAUGGUUAUUCUCCAUUGUUAAUUUGACAGGAUGCAGAAAUACCCACCAAGGAGUCAUACUUUUUGGCAUGUUUUUAAGGGCAUUCACAGAAAAAUUUAAUUGAUGAGAGAAGACCCAUGCUGAAUGAAGGCAAUAUCAUGGGCUGGAGAUCUGGAAUGAAUAAAAAGCAGAAAGUGGCUGAACCCCAGCAGCCAUACUUCCUGAAUGAGGAUCUAACUGGACCAGUUACCUCAUGCUCCUGCCUGCACCUUUCCCUGAUAUGAUGAGCUAUACCUUAAGACUAGAAGAGCAAAUCAACCCUUCCUUCCCAAUAUUGAUUACUUGUACUAGUUAUUGUCUCACAGCAAUCAGAGAAGUAACUCAUAUUGAAACUUAGCAGAAACUCUCAGUGAUGACAGAGGCCCCAUCUGACAGCUUAUCUAUGGUGCCAUGAGACAUUUCAGACAGGCGAUCUUAACUACAACUGACCUCUCACACAGCCAAAUGUAAGCUAAAAGGGAUUUAUUGUUUCAAGUGUAUGAGUUUGUGAAGUAGUAAUGAAUAAUUAAUACAAUAUUAAAACCUUGUACCUUAUAACAAAAUACAAAUGUGCUUCCUUUUAGCAGUUACCAUCUUUGUUCUGCAUCCCUGAAGAUAGCUGUAUCUUUUAUUUUCCUAUAAAUUUAUGGAGAUCAAAGAGUCCCUGCUAUUGACUUUUGAGUUCCUCUCAGUCCCAGAAAUGUGUCAUGCUCAGUGCAGAUACUGACUAAAUAUCUGACUAGUAAAUAAAUAUGCAAGCACAUCUUACCUCAAGGACCAAAGAACAACUAGCUAGCCCAAUGAAGACAAGGGUUCAAUUUGAUCUUCUAAUUGUUUCCCUAGAUUCUUCAUGUACUUAAUAUAGUAAUGAAUUAUUUAUAUACAUAGUCUCUGAAUAAGGUUUCUUUCUUAUUGAAGAAGACCCAAUUUAAGUUUGAAUAAAUGACAUGGGUUCAUUGUUUCUCUACAAUGUAGAAGAAUUACCACAUGUGAUCAUAAAUCAAAGUAUAAUCUCUAUUCUACUCUUAAAAAGACAUUGUUUCUAUAAGGGAGUCAUUAUGUGAAAGCCAAUAAGGGAAAAAUAAGGACUGCCUUGAUUAGAUAAGAACUGGGCUCACACACAGCAAAGCAAUAUAUUUACCUAAUUUUAAUUGUAUACUCUUCUCCAGCCUUUUCAUUGUCUUCUAGUAGAAAAUAUCACUAGUACAGGGAAGUAAGGAAGGGCAUGAUUAGGUAAGAGCUGGGAGUCUGUGAACCAAUGUUGAUCAUGAAGUAGAGACAACACAGAGAUAUCAUAUCCAUGGUUUUGGUUGGGGGACAGGUAAUCAAUCUUUAUGUCCUUUCUCACUUUAUUCGUUUUUUCUCUCUUUAUUUCUUUCUUUCUUUUUUUUUGUAAACUAUUUCAUUAUAUUUGUUGCCAUAACAGGAUAUUUAAGAGAUGUAAUUUGCUGCCAUCUCAAAAGUCAGCACUAACAAAGAGAAUUAAGUAAAUCUAACUAAGUAAACUAUGUUAUAGGAAAGAAAUUGUGAUAUAUUUCUUUGUCACAUGAUCAGCAUAGUAGAUGAUGUGUCUUCAUUUCCUACAAAAAAGAGGAAGCAGUUAAAAUUGUGUGUGUGUGGUUCUGGAUUAAAUAUUAUUAAUCAAAAAGGGGGCUGUCAGUAGGAUGAUAUAAGAUAUAGAUGUAGUUUAUCUCCUAAUCCCACCCUUCCUCAAAGAUUUCUGUCAGUGACAUUGUUAUCAGACUCAAACAUGGGGAUGAUUCUGCCAGUGACUUUAAUUACUUUCCCAUCAAAGGCCCAUUGAGCAGUUUCACAAAUGUCUUGUUUGCUCCCUGGGACACUUUAAAGUACAAAUGAUUCUAUUGCCUCAGUUGCUCAUCAGUAAUGGCAGGAAAUCAUUCAAUUUGUCCCCCUGGCCAGACUGUUCUGGAUUUGCACUUGUGCUGUGGGAAGAAAGAGGAUGGGUCUUCCAGAAUCAGUCAUCUCUGAUCCACAUCAGAUCCACUGGUGAGAAGGUGUUUACAUUCUCUGUGUUUCAGAUAUCUUUGUUUGUAAGUGGAUUUGCAUUCUGGUGGGCUUUCGAGUGUUUCAGUUUCAUAUCUGUUUUUUUGAUCCAUUUGCUUCCAGGAGAGGCCAGUGUACCUUGAGGAGAAAGAUCCUGGAGCAUAUGUGAGUAAGCAAAUGAUGUUCUGGGAGCCAGGCCCAUGGCUGCUGGUCUGGAUGGCUUAGAUAUGCCUUUGUAACUUUCAGGAUUUUGCUGCUGUUGCUGUUUUUUUCUCUGCUUCUCUCUCUUCCUUUCCCUCCUCCUUCUUUGCUGCUCCAGCUGCUGCUUUCAGAGGCUGUGCUUUUUCCUUUCUUACUAGCAAUUAGGCACUAAAAUCACAGCCUAAACAAGCUUUCUAAUCAUCUAGUUGUCCCUUCGCAACCUGACUUAAUAGAGAGAUGCCUUCCAUUUUCUUGGUUGAUCAAUGAAGCCAAGGCCUCAGUGAGAGUUGGCUGGAGCCUUAGUCUAAAAAUCACAUAUCUACUCUUGUGUCUUUCAUUCUUCCCUCAUUAACUAGUGAAGGAAUCAAUAUACAGCUCCACGGACAUAGGCUUUGGUGUCCCUUUCCUGCCAAUAGUUGAAGAUGUGAGGUUUCUCCAAUUGAUGAGUCUCGUGGAAGUUCCUACUGCCUUGAAUAUGCUAAAAUGAGAUACAGUUAUUCUGGGUUUAUUUCUGUUUCUGACUUGGGGAUACUAAGUUUGAGUUUGCUCGGGGGAGUGACUUUAAAGAAGUGGCUUUUCAGGGAAGGACAUACCCGUCCAGUAGGAAACAAGGAGUCUUGCCACUCAUCUUCAUAUACAACAGCAGCUUGGUGUUGUUGAGAGUUCUAGCCCUGAAGGACCAUAGUGGCUCCUAUAACUGACUGUUAUGGUACCUAGGCCAUUUCAAUAGGUGGUGAUAGGUGAAGUAGUCUAUGAACUCUUGUUUCACUCAGACUGAGGGCAGCUGCUGAGUGUCAGGAAAGAGAGAGAAUGUUUCCUACUUCAUGAGUUGGUACAAUUUCUUUUAAGCUAAGGGGCAGAAGCUUCAGUUUUGGGCUCUGAUAUUUUGUUUUUUGGGUAUCUGUCAGUAAAUAUUCAAAAGAAAAAGAAAUUUCCAAACUUUCUCCUGAUUAUGUCCUGGAGUCCUGAAUUAAUUUUUGUGGUUGUUGUUGAUUGUUGUUGUUGUUGUGUUUUGGUAAGAAUUCACUUCUGACAGACUACUGUUUGUUCUAAGUAGAACAUUUAAUAAUACAAACUCUAGAAAGUCAAAACAUAUUUAUUGAGCACAUGUUAUAUGCCAGGCUCUGUGCUAAGCACUUUACAUGCUUUGUUCUCUUCUGUCCUUAAAACUGUUUGAUGGGGGAGUAUUAGUUAUAAUCUUCCUACUGAGAGUGGGUAAUCAGUUUUUAUAUGUUUCCUUCUUCAGACUUUAGAGUGGUAAUAUUACCAGCAUGUACCAUGAUAAUUGGAGACAAGUCCAGUGACCGAAGAAUCAACCAGCCACUGAGAACAGCAAUGACACAAUGCUCUAUUAUCUCCCCUUCUCAUCAGACCAUUGAACAAAAUUGAUUCCAAACAGAUGAAGAUGUGUUUUCUUCUCACAAUGAAUAGCCAAUUAGAGAGAGGAAAGGCACCAGAGCUGCUGCAGCAGGAGCAUUUAGGUGGAGUUUCUGCUGCAGCUGCAUGCCCUCUGCUUCUCAGCAGUUAACAUUCUUUUACACACUGUCUUUUCUGGGUACUGGAGUUAAAUGAAAACACUCAUGUUCUCAGACAGAUUUGUGUUUAAAACAGAUAUCCCACGGCCCUAUAUUGUAGCUAUUUCAAAACUGUAACUGUUAUUAAUUGACGUGUACCAAUGGCACUUAUUUGCAGGUAUAGUUUUGCUGCUAUUAUGAUCAUGCUUUCAUUGUUGGAUAAUAAAAUCUGGGCAUUAAGAAUCUCAAUUGGCAUCUGGGCAUUUAGCAUCAUCUCUAUAGCUUGGUACAUUUAUCACUUCUUUGCAAUGAAAACAUUCUAUUUCUUCAUUUCUAUCUAUUUUGAAAUAUACAAUACAAUAUUAGUAGCCCCAGUCAUACUACCAUUUAUGCUAUAUGUGCCAUCUAGCACAGCAGAAGUGUUUCUAUUAAAACUGAGACAGGCCUGAAGAGUUCACAUCACUCUUCCAACUCAUGGAUGAGCAAAUCACAGGUCAAAGUUCUGAUACCAGCUGUUAAAGGUUAGGUGACUUCUAAGCGCUCUUCUUGUUUCUGUUUCAUGUUUGUUUGACCUCUUCUGACAAGUAACAGUUACAUUUGGUUUUGGUGAUUCAUUCUACCAUCUCAGAUACUAACAUGGAAGCCACUGUAAAUGUCAGUACACUCUGGCUCUUAUUAUUACUAUUAGAAGGGCACUGAUAAAAUGACAUAUCCCAGAACCUAGAGAUAGACAUUACUAGGCAAUACUUGUAAAAAUUCACAACUGCCUGCCACUGAUCUAUUGCCAUUCACUGCUUAGCUAGGUGAAGUUUGGUUCAGGUAGGGGAGAUUUAAAGAAUCCCAGAGAUAAAGUAGAGCCUUAGUCUAUGACUUCCUGACACAAAGGAUACUCAGAGUGUCCACCUCAUUCCUCUGGGUCAGUCUUCUUUCACUGGUGCAGGUAUGGCACAAGUAUAUGCCUGCUUUAUUUCUGUAACUCAGUUUCUAUGUGGCCCUGUGUCUUAUAUGUUAUCAUCUACUGGUCAACAGAAAUUACUUUCUCUCUCAUUCCCUAUGAAACUCUCUUGGUGCUAUGUAUCUAUCUUUGUACUAUGGUUAGUGCCUGGAACCUUGCCACACUGCUUAUAAACUUGGAUUGUGUUUUCCAUUCAUCAUUUGCCCAUCUGCCAUGAGACCUGAGAGCUCUUUUUGGACAGAUAGCCUAGAUACGCAGAUGUCUUUCUGCCUGAUGCUCUGGAAACUUCUACCCUUUGAUGCUGUGUUUGUUUUUUAAGAACCAGCACUUUCCAAGAGAGGGGACUAUUUCUGGGUCCCAAACACGUGCUUCUUGUGCCCUGGACCAUGUCCUGAGCAAAGGCACAUAGGAGGGACAAGACGCCUAACAAGCCAGAAUUCUGUCAUAGUGUCAGGUUUUCGUGUGAGUUUUCUGUGUGGCCUGGAUCUGAUAUUUGUCAAUCAUGUGCAAGUGUGGAAAAAAAGUUGGGGGGGUAUAUUUCCAUUGGGAAAAAUUGAUUAUAUUUCAUAGAUAUGAUAUUCACAGAAGCAAGAUGCUGUGCAGUGCCUCCUGCCCUUUGGGUAGUUGGUGAACUUGUUGUCACCUGUGUUCUAUCUAUAAUACCUUAAUCCCAACAAACUUCUGAAGGUGGGAAUUGAAAAGCAGUUCUAAGAAGGGGGAAUUGAGUCUCAGUGAAGCUAAUUCCUGUGUGGCUCAGGAAGUAAGCUCAGGUGAUGCUGGACCCGAAGAAGAGUGCAUUUGUCACACAGGGCCACUUUCCAUGGCCUAUGCUGUUAUCUCUUAGGUGAUCGGGGUCAUGGUUAGGAGUCCAGAUAUGUCAAGCUGAUUGUGACAGCCACAGAUAUUGGAAGCUGCAGGUGACUUUGGAGCUCUUCAAGUUAGUUCCUGCCAGGUAGGAUAUUGAACAUCACCUUGCUGAUCACCAAACCUCUAUAAUCCUAGAGUUUCUACCCUUAUCUACAAUGGUCACAAUUUAGGGGCUAAUAAUCAGAAAAUCUGUGUGAAACCCAGGAUUCUCCCCUUUUCUGGAGACUCCUCUGGCUUAGAUCAGAUUGUGGAUAAGUCAAAAAGUCCAGAGUCUGUGUGCUUUCUGCUGUGGUCUGGAUGUGGCAGGUACCAUCACCCAGUGCCUCUCAGUAUCUCUUGAGGUUGAAGACUGUCAGCUAGAGUUCUUCAGCUUUCUCCGGGCUUCACUUCAUCAGAGCUCCCAGGUUGUGGUAAUAAGGUUGACUAGAAAGGCUACAGAGGGUAAUGUUUUAUCACAGUGGGCCUGGACUAAGGUAGGUGACUUACAUUAUCCUUUCUGUCAUUCACUAUGGCUUCUCCAGUUUCAUUUUCAGCCAUGUAGGUUGCAAGCGUCCCUUCUCCUACACCCUUUUAACUCAUUUGGGACUCUACCACUUGAUGUAGACAGGAUCCUCCUAGCUCUUCUGCAACUUUUCUCAGACAUUUUCCUAGACUGCAUCUAUUCCACAUCUAUCAGUGAACCCUCACCCACCAUACUUUCCUGCUCAGUGAGGUUCUGUAUAGUUAGAGUAGCCAUUUGGAAUGGAAAUUUUGGAGCUUCACAGUGGAUUUUAUACUUUCAUUUUCAAAUAUAUUUUUAUGUACUCAUUGACUACUACAAACGAAAAAUCCAUGACAGAAUUAGAACAAGAAAACCACUUAGCUUUACAGCCUGUUUUAAUAACUCAUGUUCAUUAUCUACUUUGCUACAUUGAACCCUUCACCAUCCUUCAUUAUUCAACCUUUCUUGUUUUCUUUUCUACAUGUUAUACUAUAACACAUGUUAGUUAGCUUCCUCUCAGUUUGUCCAUCUAGGCUGCUAGGAUCAAUUCCUUGCUACACACAUCCAAUCUGACCACUUUAAUACUGAUACCUUGAUUUCAAACACCUAGGAAAGGGUUUUUCUUCUAUCCACUGAAUGCAAAGACAAGUAGGAUAAUGCUGAAAGCCCAAGCAAACUACUCCUCAUGCUCUGGAAGCAUAGACACACUUUAAAAGAAAUGUCUAAUGUCUGGUCUAUUAAGGCAUCAAAUUCUUCCACAAAUUGUACCAGACAUUUUUUCAUUGUGGAGAAACGGGGAUUUUGCAAAGAUGUCAAACCACAUAAGGCAGCAGGCAUAACACAGCAUCAAAGACAUAAUUUGUGCUUGUCAUUCUGGGAGGCAGGAGUUACUAGGAAUAUAUCCAGAGAGUGAAGCAAAAUACAAACACCAUAAGUACCUCUGCCAUGAUGGACAGGUAGAUGCUUUCGCAGGAGUUGCCGUAGUAACUGCUACAUGUGCAUAUCUAUUUUUUUCUUUCUCAUGCAUAAAACAAGACAGAUAAAAAUCAAGAGAGCUCUGGUCAAAGGAUUACACUGAAAAAUUACAGUGUGCUUGGACUGGACACUACCGCAUGUAAACUACUGACCUCAUUAUGUAUUGACCAUGGAAAUUAAAGUAGCAAAAGCAGGCAAGGAAGAUAAGGAGAACAUAGAGGUAUUUCUGUGAUUAACAUGGAAAUGAUAUGUGCUUAUUUGUCUUUUCUUCUUGGAAGAGAUUCCUGAUGUAAUGGCUCAACUGCAAGGCACAGUACAGUUUAACAUACAAGUGCACUCAACAAGAAUUCAUGCUAAUCCUUACUGUAGGAUAAAACUCCAGUAUAAUUUUAGCAAUCUUAGUCAAGGGAUGAGGAAUUGUAAUAUGAGAAUUCUUUUAUUUUAAAGGACUGGUAGCAGGACAUGGUGAUGAACAUCUGCAAUCUGAAUUUUUAUAUUGUAGAAACAGUAGGAACAUGAACUUGUGUUUAGUUCAAGCUACACAGCAAGGUUCAGACUAUAGGGAAAGACCUUGUCUCACAAAAAUAUUAUAACUGUUGUAUGUGAUUAUCUGGCCAUGAAUCUGUCUAUGUUUGCAUUCAUCCAUUCAUCUGCCCACACAAUUCUAUCUGUUUUGCACUCAUUAUCAAUUUUAAUAUCAAUGGGUACCAAGAGAAACAGUAUAUCAUUAUUUUGAAACAGUAUGAGAAUACUCUAAAGCAGAGUUUAGUCUAAUUAAAACAAUCGAUUCACAAAUACAUGUAUACUCUUUUAGAAGCUACUUUUGGACCUACCCUCUGCCCUUCCUUUUUUUCCAAGACAUCAGCAGGCUGGUUGAGAGCGUUAAUGGUCCCAACCAAUGAGGAACUAGCUGUGAGGAGAGCAGUCAAGUGUGUCCUGAAGUUCAGAUGGCUUUCUGCAACCAGAUACUUGCCAGACAUGAGCAGUAAACACAGUUCCAUCAGUCCAGUUCCACACAAAGACUGAGAGCAUGAUUCAGCCCUCUGUCUGCUUCAUUUGCCUUACAGUUCACUUGGUUGAUCAUUACCUUGAAUGUCAUUUUUAAUUCUGCUGAGUUCACAGAAUUACAAAGACAGUGCCUCUGAUUUAAUCUUUUUUCUUUUUUCCAUUUUAAUGUGUGCAUGCAAAUGUUAUACAUGUGCAUGUGCAUGGGAUGGUUCAAAGUUGAUGCCAGGAAUCAAUCUCAACCACUUUUCAUCUUACUCACUGGAAACAGUUCCCAGUCAAAACUCCUACUGUUGCUAAUCUGCCUGCUCUGGGAUCCUUGCUGUCUUCCAAACCUGCUGUCCAGAGGCAUCUGAAUGCUGCACAUUUCCUCACCCUACACUUACUGUCGUCUUUCCAGCCUAUCUUCCAUGGUGACGAUCCAUGUGCUUUGGAGGGGGCAACAUACAUAGCUCAUUUAGAGCCCAACACCUUAUUAUCACUUAUUUUUGUCAUGCUAUAUAUUUGUGCAUUAACCACUGCCUCAGGGUUAACCCUUCCCUGAUGAUGUUUGAACACAGCACUAAUCUAUGGAUAAUGACAUGAACAUUUAGAAGCAACUGGGGAUUAUGACCAUUUAGGAAACUAUUAGUGUUUUCUAGGAUAGCAUCUAUCACUAAGCUUGCAGAACCAGGGAUGAAUUCUUUCCCGUGGAGUGACCUCAAAUCAGAUCAGCAAGAAAUUGGUUACUUUCAGAGUAACUGCUGCAUGUUAAUCUAUGUCAUCCCUAGCUGGCCAUCACUCACAGGAUUCAUAAUUGGGUAAAACAUUUCUCCUCCCAGCAGCUUCCAUUGCCUAUCCUAGCACCAUAAAGUCUAGCUAAUUGAGAAGAUGCAUCCAUCUUAGCCCCAGCUGGACUUUUUUAUCUUGUGACCGAAGUAAAGAUAGGGUCUUAUCAUCAAGUUUUUAUGGGCCUCUAAGAGCCCAUAUUAUUUGGAGGGCCUCUGCCUACCACCCACCCUCUGGACAACAACUCAUAAGGAAAUAUUCCCCUUCUAGCACUGAGAGUUUUAGUGACUAACCUAUGACUUUUAAGAGGAGAAUUUCCUCCAUUUAGGUAACAAAUAUACAAACUGGUUUUUAGAAUACAUUUUUGAUAAGCUUAUAAAAUAAGAGGUUUCCAUGUGGGCUUACAUAUGCACAGUUCAGUUUACUGUUCCUUCCCCCCUUGUCUUUUCUCUAUCCUAGACUCAACUGUUUGCUGAGAUAUCUUUAAGCCCAGCACUGCUCCUCUAAUUUCAUGUCAGAUGUUUUCUGCUCCCCACAAACCUGCCUCUAAGGGGCUCUUUCCAUCGUUCUGGGCUUUUACCAGCACUAAAUAGUAAUCACACUAUUCAAAAAGGUUACACCUAGGAUCGGCUAAUAAGAGAGAACAUGCAGUCCUUGCAUUUCUGAGCCUGGGUGAUCUUACUUUAUAUUCCAGAUUCAUACAUUUUCCUGUAAAAAUUCUUUAUUCUUUACUGCUAAAUAAAAUUCUAUUGUGUAUGCUUUCUUUAUCCAUUCAUCAGUUGAUGAAUGUCAAGGCUGAUACCAUUUCUUCACUGUUGUGAAUAGAACUGCAAUGAACACUGAAGUGGCAAUAUGUCUUUUGUAUGGUAUGGAGUCCUUGUGAUGCAUAUGCCAAGGAUGUUAUAAUUGAAUCAUAUGGAAGUUCUUUUUUUAUUUUUUAAGGAACUUACAGACUGCUUUCUAUAAUGGAUUCAUGAUUUUAUAGUUCCCCUGUUUACCAUUAAGAUGUAUUUUUAUUUGUUUACUGGAUAAUUGCCAUUCAACAUGAAGUGAGAUGAAAUCUCAAGUCAGUUUUAAUUUGAAUUACUCUGAUUGCUAAGAAUAUUAAGUGUCUUGUACAAGUAAUACCAGCUGUCCUAGGCUGUAAGCUUGACAUCACCUGAAAAUACAUGAAAAGGACAUCUGAAUUACCUACUUGUUUUUAUCAGGUUGGUCUGUAAGCAUAUCUGUGAAGGAUUGCAUUAAUUGAUAUAGGAGAGUAUAGCCUGCUGUGGGUGGCACCAUUUUUAUUCAAUUCUAGAAAUUUAAUUUUCCUCUUAAAUUUUUAUUGAACUAUUUAUUAUUAUAUUGUAUGUUUUUUAAUUGCCAGGAGUUCAUUGUUUUCCAUAUUGUCUUUUGCUAUGAUUUUGUCAUCUUAUUCCAUUGAGAUCAGAUAGAAUACAAGGAAUUAUUCCAGUUUCUCUGCUUUGCUUGACUGUAGCAUUGUGUACCAUUGUGUGUUAUCUUUUAGAGAAUGUUUAAUGGGAUGCAAAGAAGAAUAGGCGUGGUGGACUAGUCAGUGUAUGUCUGUUAGGUCCAUUUGAUCUAUGGUGCUAUUUAAUUCCUAUGUUUCUCUUUUUCUAUUUUCCCAAUUGAUUCUAUUGUCAGAAUAGAACACUGACGUCACUAUUGACCUAGUCAAUAUUGACUAUUGACAAUUGACCUAUAAUUUCAUAUUUAAUAGUGCUUAUUUUAUGAAAUGAUGUGAAUCGGUAUUUGGUACACAUAUUUAGAAUUGAAAAAGUUAUCUUGAUGAAUUGGUCUUUUGAUAGGUAUGAAGUUACUUUCCUUGUCUAUUCUGAUUAUAUUUCUUUGAAGUCCAUUUUAUUACGUAUAGAAUGGUGACACCUGUUUGUUUGUAGUCUCAUUUUUAAAAUCUUUUUCAAUCCUUCCACUCUAAGGUAGUUUCUGUGUCUGCGGGUGAGGCAUGUUUCUUGGAGGCAUCAAAAGGAAGGUUCCUAUUUUUUAAUCCAAUCUACUACUGUAUUUUUAACAGGACAAUUAAUAUUCAGAGUUAUUAUUCAAAGGUCUUUAUUGAUUCCUGUCAUUUUGCAGUUUUGUGUGUUUUUAUAGUUCUGUUUUGUUUAAUAGCUGUUGUAGCCUUGUUUAUGUUUUCAUUGUAAAAUCUCAGAAAUGUUUAUCUUUCUCUUAAGUUUAAAGUAUCUGCUCCAGCAUCCACUGUGGAGCUGGCUCGUUAGUCAUAAAUUCAUUCAGUGUGGUUUUGCUAUGGAAAGCUUUUAUUUCUCUUUCAAUUAUGAUACUACUUAUGGGAAUAUUGGGCUAGGUUGGUAAUUGGGUCUUUCAGAAUUUGAAAUACAUCUCUCUGAGAGCUUCUGGAUUUUAAGGAUUCCAUUGAUAUAUAAACUAUUAUUCUGAUGGGUUGACCUUUAAAUAUGGUUGGGACCUCUCUCGUGCACCUUUUAGUACACUUUUUUCUUCCUAUAUAUUUUGGUGUUUUUACUAUGAUAUGCCAUGAGGUGUCCUUUUUACUAAUUCUGUCUUUUUGGUGUUCCGUGAGCCUCUUGUACCUAUACAGACACUUCUCUUAACUUGGAUGGAUUUUCUCCUGUGAUUCUAUUGAAAAUAUUUUCUAUUCUAUAGACAUGGAAUUUUUCCCAUUGUUGUGCCUAUCAUUUGUAAGUGUUGCCUUUUCAGGAUGCCCUGAUGAUCUUAAGGGUUUCAUUCAUAAGCUUUUUAAACUUUAUCAUUGACCUUCACUCAGUGAUCCAACUCUUCCCCAAUGUCGUGAAUUCUAUCUUCUGCAUGAUUCCUCUUCCAAGUGAGGUUUUCCACUGCACUUGUUACUUAACUGUCUGUGAUUUUCAUUUCUACCACCAUUUCAGUUGUGUUUUUCUUCAGUGUUAUUGGAUUUCAUUUUCAUUCCCUUUAUUGGAUUUCAUUUUCAUAAAUCUGGCUUCCAUAUUUCAUCCAAUUGCUUGUUUUGGUUUUGUGUGGGUGUGGUUUUUUUAAAUAUAUUCUUGUUUUCUUGGGUUUUGUGAAGACAGUUCUCUUGAAUUGUGUUUCGGGAAUUUUAUCAAGAUCCUUUUCAUUGGGGGGGCAUUUUUAUGGGGUAGAAAAAUUUUUGAGGAGGUAAGUUGUCUUGGUUCUUCUUGUCUCUGGUGGUUUUUGUAUUAAGACCAUCUAGGGUGAGAUCAUUUUAAGAUUUUUGUUGUCAUUUUUAUUCUGGUAACCUUUGUACAUUUUGUUGAGGCCUUUGCAGUGUUCAGAAAAAAUCCAAGUUAUAGAAAGGAUAAUGCAUCAGUUAUCUCUUUAAAUUGUUCUUCCAGUCACCAGGCUCUGACACCAGACCUUCAAUGACAGUUGAGUAUUGUCAACAACUGUAGUCACUUUCCAUCAGUAAAUACACUGUGAAAAUAGUGUCAGUUGAACACUAAGCUCUCAUUCCUUAAGUAACAAUUGUUUUGGGGGAAUAAGAGAUGCUAGUAGUACUGUAUCUAUAUGUAUAAUAGAUAUUGUGGAUAUAAGUGGAGAAAGAGCAAGAAAAAAAUCACAGUGAGAUUCAGUUGCCAGAAAGGAACUAGAGGAGGGGUUAUAGCAAGUAAAAGAGGGACCACCACACAGAAGGAGUAAUCAUAGAAUUAAAAAAAAAAAUAAGGUGGUAGUGGGUUUGGCUAAAUGGUACUGAAAAGAGUAGGUAAAGAUGUACCCCUAAAUAACAAAACAGGCUUUUUUCUCAGGGGUGUGAGUCACAGAGGGACUGUAAACUAGGGCACUGCACAUUCUUUAUGAAAGGCAAAGGAAAGAUGACAGGAAAAAGAGAAAAAGGAUAAAAAGAGAUGGGACAGGUGAAGGACUGAGGUGGUCUGCUACCCUGACCUUGUCUAUUCCAUAAAUAAAGAACAGUUAAAGAGGGAAACAAGAGCUGGGUGGAGAAUACAUGUGAAGUUUUCCUAACCUUAACACUUACCUCCUAGGGAGACCUGCAAAGGGAAUCAACGUCUCAUGCACAGUACAAACCUCAAAUGCUAAUCAGGAUCUGGGGCUGUAGUUGAGCAAUCCCUGCCUCCAGUAAUGACCUAGAGCUGGGGAAGGAGCAUGGACCUGCUGCCAUUCUCAAAACUUUGCUUAAUGCUUUGCUCAUUACACAAGGAGUUCCAAGCUACACGUUGAAAAAUGGCAAAAAAAAAAAAAAAAAAAAAAAA